This 207-nucleotide ribosomal RNA is filed under the name uncultured bacterium. RNAcentral describes it as "partial 16S ribosomal RNA". It matches the Rfam family "Bacterial small subunit ribosomal RNA", at positions 568 to 774 of the family's 1533-position model. The record is from RNAcentral.
CGCGUAGGCGGACCUUCAAGUCGGAUGUGACAUCCGUGGGCUUAACCCGCGGCCUGCAUUCGAUACUGUCGGUCUUGAGUACAGGAGAGGAGAGUGGAAUUCCAGGUGUAGCGGUGAAAUGCGUAGAUAUCUGGAAGAACACCAGUAGCGAAGGCGGCUCUCUGGACUGAUACUGACGCUAAAGCGCGAAGGCCUGGGGAGCAAACA